This 1067-nucleotide ribosomal RNA is filed under the name Nesterenkonia halobia. Its description in RNAcentral is "bacterial SSU rRNA". It matches the Rfam family "Bacterial small subunit ribosomal RNA", at positions 56 to 1129 of the family's 1533-position model. The record is from RNAcentral. Lineage: Bacteria; Bacillati; Actinomycetota; Actinomycetes; Micrococcales; Micrococcaceae.
UGCAGUCGAACGAUGAAGCCGGGUGCUUGCACCGGGUGGAUUAGUGGCGAACGGGUGAGUAUCACGUGAGUAACCUGCCCUUGACUCUGGGAUAAGCCUGGGAAACUGGGUCUAAUACCGGAUAUGACCAGUCCUCGCAUGGGGUGCUGGUGGAAAGAUUUAUCGGUCUUGGAUGGACUCGCGGCCUAUCAGUUUGUUGGUGAGGUAAUGGCUCACCAAGGCGAUGACGGGUAGCCGGCCUGAGAGGGUGACCGGCCACACUGGGACUGAGACACGGCCCAGACUCCUACGGGAGGCAGCAGUGGGGAAUAUUGCACAAUGGGCGCAAGCCUGAUGCAGCGACGCCGCGUGCGGGAUGACGGCCUUCGGGUUGUAAACCGCUUUCAGCAGGGAAGAAGCUUUUUGUGACGGUACCUGCAGAAGAAGCGCCGGCUAACUACGUGCCAGCAGCCGCGGUAAUACGUAGGGCGCGAGCGUUAUCCGGAAUUAUUGGGCGUAAAGGGCUCGCAGGCGGUUUGCCACGUCUGCUGUGAAAGCCCGGGGCUUAACUCCGGGUGUGCAGUGGGUACGGGUAGACUAGAGUGCAGUAGGGGAGACUGGAAUUCCUGGUGUAGCGGUGAAAUGCGCAGAUAUCAGGAAGAACACCGAUGGCGAAGGCAGGUCUCUGGGCUGUUACUGACGCUGAGGAGCGAAAGCAUGGGGAGCGAACAGGAUUAGAUACCCUGGUAGUCCAUGCCGUAAACGUUGGGCACUAGGUGUGGGGGGACAUUCCACGUUUUCCGCGCCGUAGCUAACGCAUUAAGUGCCCCGCCCUGGGGAGUACGGCCGCAAGGCUAAAACUCAAAGGAAUUGACGGGGGCCCGCACAAGCGGCGGAGCAUGCGGAUUAAUUCGAUGCAACGCGAAGAACCUUACCAAGGCUUGACAUGGACCGGAUCGCUGCAGAGAUGUAGUUUCCCUUCGGGGCUGGUUCACAGGUGGUGCAUGGUUGUCGUCAGCUCGUGUCGUGAGAUGUUGGGUUAAGUCCCGCACGAGCGCAACCCUUGUCCUAUGUUGCCAGCACGUGAU